UCUUCCGAGGUGCGUGACAGCCGUGACUUCAGUGGCGCGUGUACCGCCUUUCAGUUAGGUGGGACGAGCCUCUUCUCACUACAGUGGCCUCACUAGUAACAGUCUGUAUGGGCUGCCUGUCAUGCACAAAACCGCGACCCGGUGAUGACCUAAGGGGGCGGAGCCACAGAUGACAGGCGGCCUCACGCACCAACCAGCCCACCGUGCACACAACUCUAUGAGGGGGAUUAACAAAUCUUGGAGAGAGAAAAAGGCACAGAUUUAUCAAAUCCCGGAGAGAGAUAAAGCGGAGAGAGGCUGUGAUAGAAAAAUGAUGGGUUUCUAGUUCUACUACUAUGUUCUACACCUCCAUUCGUCUUCUUUAUAAGGCCUGAGAACACUCCCCCUACUCAGAUACCUCACAAUAUUCAUGAUGGAGGCUUCGGACCGAGGGCACCGGAGAAAAUGACGUGUUGACACAAGUGGGGGAGUGGCCACUUUACUUUGGGUGAGUCCCUACUACCUUCACUUCGGAAGAACCGGACCGCCCCCCAGGCCCCGUUACUACAAAAUCACCCCUUCAGUACCGCCAGUAUUCACGACAUAGAAGUGGAAUCACUUAGGGCGAGUAUCUCCCAACUGCCGCCAUACUGGAACAAAGGCCUAAUGGCAGCACUUUUUCCGGGACGGCCCCUAUACCGGGACAGCUCGGCCCAAUCUAGAGGAGACUGUCAUGGUGACCCGUGUGUUACAUUGUACAUCUUGGAUCAAUGCCUGUAACAUGGAGCCUUAUUAUAAGCAAUCUUGCGCGGAUACAUCUGGUUAGAGCAGGAAAUGUGCGCACAGAACCAGAGAAUGUUCCCCGAGGGGGAGAAAGGAAUUACUAAAGUCACUUAGAUGAACAUAAAAGUGUAUUUUAUGUC
Long non-coding RNA from Pseudophryne corroboree (corroboree frog), 902 nucleotides. RefSeq lists it as uncharacterized. The transcript has 3 exons. NCBI's taxonomy places the organism in Eukaryota, Metazoa, Chordata, Amphibia, Anura, Myobatrachidae. The record is from RefSeq and is a predicted model, not a curated record.